GACGAACGCUGGCGGCGUGCUUAACACAUGCAAGUCGAACGGUAAGGCCCUUCGGGGUACACGAGUGGCGAACGGGUGAGUAACACGUGGGUGAUCUGCCCUGCACUUCGGGAUAAGCCUGGGAAACUGGGUCUAAUACCGGAUAGGACCACUGCCUGCAUGGGUGGUGGUGGAAAGCUUUUGCGGUGUGGGAUGGGCCCGCGGCCUACCAGCUUGUUGGGGGGGUGAUGGCCUACCAAGGCGACGCCGGGUAGCCGGCCUGAGAGGGUGACCGGCCACACUGUGACUGAGAUACGGCCCAGACUCCUACGGGAGGCAGCAGUGGGGAAUAUUGCACAAUGGGCGCAAGCCUGAUGCAGCGACGCCGCGUGAGGGAUGACGGCCUUCGGGUUGUAAACCUCUUUCAGCACCGACGAAGCGCAAGUGACGGUAGGUGCAGAAGAAGGACCGGCCAACUACGUGCCAGCCGCCGCAGUAA
This 478-nucleotide ribosomal RNA is filed under the name uncultured bacterium. RNAcentral describes it as "partial 16S ribosomal RNA". It matches the Rfam family "Bacterial small subunit ribosomal RNA", at positions 28 to 523 of the family's 1533-position model. The record is from RNAcentral.